RNAcentral lists this long non-coding RNA (373 nucleotides) under Homo sapiens (human). RNAcentral's name for it is "HSALNT0232956". The record is from RNAcentral. Lineage: Eukaryota; Metazoa; Chordata; Mammalia; Primates; Hominidae.
UGCUGCCAUGGCCACGACUGUUGUUACACUCGAGCUGAGGAGGCCGGCUGCAGCCCCAAGACAGAGCGCUACUCCUGGCAGUGCGUCAAUCAGAGCGUCCUGUGCGAUUUCUUCUUAUUGCCCAGGCUUGAGUGCAAUGACCUGUUCUCAGCUUACUCAACCUCUGCCUCUUGGGUUUCAGUCAUUUUUCUGCCUCGGCCUCCUGAGUAGCUAAGGGAGGAGUCUUGAGAUUAUCAUCCACGGAGGGUGGAAGAGGAGAGGGUGGAAGGGGAAUAAGAAGACACUCCAGUGAAGCACUUGCCUUGCGUGCAAAAAUGUAAGGGGGCCUCUCCCUCUCCCUCUCCGUCUCCCUCUCCCUCUCCCUCUCCGUCUC